GACGAACGCUGGCGGCGUGCUUAACACAUGCAAGUCGAACGGAAAGGCCCUGCUUUUGUGGGGUGCUCGAGUGGCGAACGGGUGAGUAACACGUGAGUAACCUGCCCUUGACUUUGGGAUAACUUCAGGAAACUGGGGCUAAUACCGGAUAGGAGCUCCUGCUGCAUGGUGGGGGUUGGAUAGUUUCGGCGGUUGGGGAUGGACUCGCGGCUUAUCAGCUUGCUGGUGGGGUAGUGGCUUACCAAGGCUUUGACGGGUAGCCGGCCUGAGAGGGUGACCGGCCACAUUGGGACUGAGAUACGGCCCAGACUCCUACGGGAGGCAGCAGUGGGGAAUAUUGCACAAUGGGCGGAAGCCUGAUGCAGCAACGCCGCGUGCGGGAUGACGGCCUUCGGGUUGUAAACCGCUUUCGCCUGUGACGAAGCGUGAGUGACGGUAAUGGGUAAAGAAGCACCGGCUAACUACGUG
This 468-nucleotide ribosomal RNA is filed under the name uncultured bacterium. Its description in RNAcentral is "partial 16S ribosomal RNA". It matches the Rfam family "Bacterial small subunit ribosomal RNA", at positions 28 to 507 of the family's 1533-position model. The record is from RNAcentral.